RNAcentral lists this transfer RNA (85 nucleotides) under Felis catus (domestic cat). It matches the Rfam family "tRNA". Rfam says of the family: Transfer RNA (tRNA) molecules are approximately 80 nucleotides in length. Their secondary structure includes four short double-helical elements and three loops (D, anti-codon, and T loops). The record is from Rfam by way of RNAcentral. Lineage: Eukaryota; Metazoa; Chordata; Mammalia; Carnivora; Felidae.
GCCUGGGUAGCUCAGUCGGUUAAGCGUCUGACUUUGGCUUGGGUCAUGAUCUCAUGGUUUGUGGGUUCAAGACCCGCAUCAGGCU